CAGCCGCCACGGUAAUACGUAGGUGGCAAGCGUUGUCCGGAUUUAUUGGGCGUAAAGCGAGCGCAGGCGGUCAAUUAAGUCUGAUGUGAAAGCCCCCGGCUCAACCGGGGAGGGUCAUUGGAAACUGGUUGACUUGAGUGCAGAAGAGGAGAGUGGAAUUCCAUGUGUAGCGGUGAAAUGCGUAGAUAUAUGGAGGAACACCAGUGGCGAAGGCGACUCUCUGGUCUGUAACUGACGCUGAGGCUCGAAAGCGUGGGUAGCAAACAGGAUUAGAGACCCCUGUAGUCCCUGUCUCUUAUAC
RNAcentral lists this ribosomal RNA (301 nucleotides) under uncultured bacterium. RNAcentral describes it as "partial 16S ribosomal RNA". It matches the Rfam family "Bacterial small subunit ribosomal RNA", at positions 509 to 807 of the family's 1533-position model. The record is from RNAcentral.